GUUCCCACAUUGACAUGAGGUUUACUGUAAAGUGUAAACGCAAAAGGGUCAUUGCAAAGAAUCUAUUUGACGUCACCGUGUUAAAAAGGAAAUGCUACCAUCCCUUUCCUUCAUUAUUCCCCCCAUGAAAGGUAGUUUAUCAAUCAAAAUUAAAGCUCAUUCACAGCGAUAUCAGACAUUCUGAAAAAUAAACCCAGUCACAAACUGAGAAUCAACCAAAUAACUAAA
Molecule: unclassified non-coding RNA, 228 nt
Filed under: Hevea brasiliensis (rubber tree)
Lineage: Eukaryota; Viridiplantae; Streptophyta; Magnoliopsida; Malpighiales; Euphorbiaceae
Source: RNAcentral